Molecule: ribosomal RNA, 378 nt
Filed under: uncultured bacterium
Lineage: Bacteria
Description: bacterial SSU rRNA
Rfam family: Bacterial small subunit ribosomal RNA
Source: RNAcentral
GACGAACGCUGGCGGCGUGCUUAACACAUGCAAGUCGAGCGGUAAGGCCCUUUCGGGGGUACACGAGCGGCGAACGGGUGAGUAACACGUGGGUGACCUGCCCUCAGCUCUGGGAUAAGCCCGGGAAACUGGGUCUAAUACCGGAUAUGACUCCAUGACGCAUGUUGUGGGGUGGAAAGCCUUGUGCGGCUGAGGAUGGGCCCGCGGCCUAUCAGCUUGUUGGUGGGGUGAUGGCCUACCAAGGCGACGACGGUAGCCGGCCUGAGAGGGCGACCGGCCACACUGGGACUGAGAUACGGCCCAGACUCCUACGGGAGGCAGCAGUGGGGAAUCUUGCGCAAUGGGCGAAAGCCUGACGCAGCGACGCCGCGUGAGGAU